RNAcentral lists this ribosomal RNA (282 nucleotides) under uncultured prokaryote. RNAcentral describes it as "partial 16S ribosomal RNA". It matches the Rfam family "Bacterial small subunit ribosomal RNA", at positions 524 to 803 of the family's 1533-position model. The record is from RNAcentral.
CACGGGGGUUGCGAGCGUUGUCCGGAAUUACUAGGCGUAAAGGGCAGGCAGGCGGAUUCAUAAGUUUAUCGUUUAAGGCGUCGGCUUAACCGGCGUAGGGCGGUAGAUACUGUGGAUCUGGAAUGCGGUUGGGGAAGACAGAAUUCCUGGUGUAGCGGUGGAAUGCGCAGAGAUCAGUAGGAAUACCGAAGGCGAAGGCAGUCUUCCAAGCCGUUAUUGACGCUCAACUGCGAAGGUGUGGGUAUCAAACAGGAUUAGAUACCCCGGUAGUCCCUGAGCGGG